UCAUCUUUCUCGGCCUUUUGGCUAAGAUCAAGUACAGUAUAUGUUCUUAUUAGUUUAAUAUCUGAUAUGUGGAAUAUUUAUAUUAAAAGCACGAAGGCCUUUAGCGAAAUGUCGUUCGUCUUUUUUACCCUCU
This 133-nucleotide small nuclear RNA is filed under the name Nicotiana sylvestris (wood tobacco). Its description in RNAcentral is "U2 spliceosomal RNA". It matches the Rfam family "U2 spliceosomal RNA". Rfam says of the family: U2 is a small nuclear RNA (snRNA) component of the spliceosome (involved in pre-mRNA splicing). Complementary binding between U2 snRNA (in an area lying towards the 5' end but 3' to hairpin I) and the branchpoint sequence (BPS) of the intron results the bulging out of an unpaired adenosine, on the BPS, which initiates a nucleophilic attack at the intronic 5' splice site, thus starting the first of two transesterification reactions that mediate splicing. The record is from Rfam by way of RNAcentral. Lineage: Eukaryota; Viridiplantae; Streptophyta; Magnoliopsida; Solanales; Solanaceae.